This 460-nucleotide ribosomal RNA is filed under the name uncultured bacterium. RNAcentral's name for it is "partial 16S ribosomal RNA". It matches the Rfam family "Bacterial small subunit ribosomal RNA", at positions 338 to 795 of the family's 1533-position model. The record is from RNAcentral.
CCUACGGGAGGCUGCAGUGAGGAAUAUUGGUCAAUGGGCUUACGCCUGAACCAGCCAAGUCGCGUGAGGGAAGACUGCCCUAUUGGUUGUAAACCUCUUUUGUCAGGGAGCAACGCCGGCUACGUGUAGCCGGACUGAGAGUACCUGAAGAAAAAGCAUCGGCUAACUCCGUGCCAGCAGCCGCGGUAAUAAGGAGGAUGCGAGCGUUAUCCGGAUUGAUUGGGUUUAAAGGGUGCGUAGGCGGAAUGCCAAGUCAGCGGUAAAAUCGCGGGGCUCAACCUCGCUCCGCCUUUGAAACUGGCGUUCUUGAGUGGGCGAGAAGUAUGCGGAAUGCGUGGUGUAGCGGUGAAAUGCAUAGAUAUCACGCAGAACUCCGAUUGCGAAGGCAGCAUACCGGCGCCCAACUGACGCUGAAGCACGAAAGCGUGGGUAUCGAACAGGAUUAGAUACCCGAGUAGUC